GAUGAAGAACGUAGCGAAAUGCGUUAAGUAAUGUGAAUUGCAGAAUUCAGUGAAUCAUCGAAUCUUUGAACGCACAUUGCGCCCCCUGGUAUUCCGGGGGGCAUGCCUGUUCGAGCGUCAUUUCACCACUCAAGCCUCGCUUGGUAUUGGGCAACGCGGUCCGCCGCGUGCCUCAAAUCGACCGGCUGGGUCUUCUGUCCCCUAAGCGUUGUGGAAACUAUUCGCUAAAGGGUGUUCGGGAGGCUACGCCGUAAAACAACCCCAUUUCUAAGGUUGACCUCGGAUCAGGUAGGGAUACCCGCUGAACUUAAGCAUAUCAAUAAGCGGAGGA
RNAcentral lists this unclassified non-coding RNA (331 nucleotides) under soil metagenome. RNAcentral's name for it is "partial contains 5.8S ribosomal RNA, internal transcribed spacer 2, and large subunit ribosomal RNA". The stretch from base 1 to 120 matches the Rfam family "5.8S ribosomal RNA", at positions 35 to 154 of the family's 154-position model. The record is from RNAcentral.